GGCGGCAGGCCUAAUACAUGCAAGUCGAGCGCGCCCUUCGGGGUGAGCGGCGGACGGGUGAGUAACGCGUGGGAAUAUGCCCUUCUCUAAGGAAUAGCCUCUGGAAACGGAGAGUAAUACCUUAUACGCCCUUUGGGGGAAAGAUUUAUCGGAGAGGGAUUAGCCCGCGUUAGAUUAGGUAGUUGGUGGGGUAAUGGCCUACCAAGCCUACGAUCUAUAGCUGGUUUGAGAGGAUGAUCAGCCACACUGGGACUGAGACACGGCCCAGACUCCUACGGGAGGCAGCAGUAGGGAAUCUUAGACAAUGGGGGCAACCCUGAUCUAGCCAUGCCGCGUGUGUGAUGAAGGCCCUAGGGUCGUAAAGCACUUUCGCCAGAGAUGAUAAUGACAGUAUCUGGUAAAGAAACCCCGGCUAACUCCGUGCCAGCAGCCGCGGUAAUACGGAGGGGGUUAGCGUUGUUCGGAAUUACUGGGCGUAAAGCGCACGUAGGCGGAUUAGUAAGUUAGAGGUGAAAUCCCAGGGCUCAACCCUGGAACUGCCUUUAAUACUGCUAGUCUUGAGUUCGAGAGAGGUAAGUGGAAUUCCGAGUGUAGAGGUGAAAUUCGUAGAUAUUCGGAGGAACACCAGUGGCGAAGGCGGCUUACUGGCUCGAUACUGACGCUGAGGUGCGAAAGUGUGGGGAGCCAACAGGAUUAGAUACCCUGGUAGUCCACACCGUAAACGAUGAAUGCCAGACGUCAGCAAGUAUAC
RNAcentral lists this ribosomal RNA (751 nucleotides) under uncultured Alphaproteobacteria bacterium. Its description in RNAcentral is "bacterial SSU rRNA". It matches the Rfam family "Bacterial small subunit ribosomal RNA", at positions 38 to 835 of the family's 1533-position model. Lineage: Bacteria; Pseudomonadati; Pseudomonadota; Alphaproteobacteria. The record is from RNAcentral.